Molecule: ribosomal RNA, 574 nt
Filed under: uncultured Rhytismatales
Lineage: Eukaryota; Fungi; Ascomycota; Leotiomycetes; Rhytismatales
Description: eukaryotic LSU rRNA
Rfam family: Eukaryotic large subunit ribosomal RNA
Source: RNAcentral
UAAGCAUAUCAAUAAGCGGAGGAAAAGAAACCAACAGGGAUUGCCUCAGUAACGGCGAGUGAAGCGGCAACAGCUCAAAUUUGAAAGCUGGCUCCUUCGGGGCCCGCGUUGUAAUUUGUAGAGGAUGUUUCGGGCGCGGCGCCGGUCUAAGUUCUUUGGAACAAGACGUCAUAGAGGGUGAGAAUCCCGUAUGUGACUGGUUGCCUGUGCCCAUGUGAAACUCCUUCGACGAGUCGAGUAGUUUGGGAAUGCUGCUCAAAAUGGGAGGUGUAUUUCUUCUAAAGCUAAAUAUUGGCCAGAGACCGAUAGCGCACAAGUAGAGUGAUCGAAAGAUGAAAAGCACUUUGGAAAGAGAGUUAAACAGUACGUGAAAUUGUUGAAAGGGAAGCGCUUGCAAUCAGACUUGCGCGGCGUCGAUCAGCCUGGGUUCUCCCUGGUGUACUCGGCGCCGCUCAGGCCAGCAUCAGUUUCGGCGGUGGGAUAAAGGCUCAGGGAACGUGAGUUGCUUCGGUGACUGUUAUAGCCCUGGGUGCAAUGCCGCCUGCCGGGACUGAGGACCGCGCUUCGGCUAGGA